This is a long non-coding RNA of Monopterus albus (swamp eel), 421 nucleotides long. RefSeq lists it as uncharacterized. The record is from RefSeq and is a predicted model, not a curated record. NCBI's taxonomy places the organism in Eukaryota, Metazoa, Chordata, Actinopteri, Synbranchiformes, Synbranchidae. The transcript has 2 exons.
CAUUUCUGGCGCCCCCUGGAUGUACGGCGCCCUUAGCAUUUGCCCCAAACUGCCUAUGCCACGGGCCGGCCCUGGUAAGUAAAUAUCUUUACCAUGGUAACCAACACAGGAGCUAACUAAUUAGGUCAGUAAGCAAAGUUAGCUACCUGUUAAGUUAGCGUUAGCUUAAUAAUGUCAACGCCAGCUAGCUAGCAACCAGCUUUAAUAGCAGUCCAGCAAGAUUCAACACACAUUAGGCCUACUGUUGUGUUUAGUCUUGUUUUACAAAUGCUCAUGGUUAGAUGCUGUGUGUUUUCUAAGUAGCUAGGAAGGACACGGGUAUACUAAACCAGUGUGUUGGCAUUGGUUUAUGCUCUUCCCGAAAGAAAACCAUCACAUCUAGACGAUGCUGGACAUACUUGAGGAACAUUCUUCUGAAAUG